Molecule: ribosomal RNA, 677 nt
Filed under: uncultured organism
Description: bacterial SSU rRNA
Rfam family: Bacterial small subunit ribosomal RNA
Source: RNAcentral
GGCUUAGAGUUUGAUCAUGGCUCAGGAUGAACGCUGGCGGCGUGCCUAACACAUGCAAGUCGAACGGAGAUUAACGCUGAAUUGAUAAUUAGCUUGCUAAGAGGAUUUUCUUGUUAAUCUUAGUGGCGGACGGGUGAGUAACACGUGAGCAACCUGCCUUUCAGAGGGGGAUAACAGCUGGAAACGGUCGCUAAUACCGCAUGACAUAUUCGGAUGGCAUCGUCUGAAUAUCAAAGGAGCAAUCCGCUGAAAGAUGGGCUCGCGUCUGAUUAGAUAGUUGGUGAGGUAACGGCUCACCAAGUCGACGAUCAGUAGCCGGACUGAGAGGUUGAACGGCCACAUUGGGGCUGAGAUACGACCCAGACUCCUACGGGAGGCAGCAGUGGGGAAUAUUGCACAAUGGGGGAAACCCUGAUGCAGCAACGCCGCGUGAAGGAAGACGGUUUUCGGAUUGUAAACUUCUUUUCUUAGUGAAGAAGAAAGUGACGGUAGCUAAGGAAUAAGCAUCGGCUAACUACGUGCCAGCAGCCGCGGUAAUACGUAGGAUGCAAGCGUUAUCCGGAUUUACUGGGUGUAAAGGGAGCGCAGGCGGGACUGCAAGUUGGAUGUGAAAUGCCGGGGCUCAACCCCGGAGCUGCAUCCAAAACUGUAGUUCUUGAGUGGAGUAGAGGCAAGCG